CAAGUGCUGCCGGGUGUUGGAGAAGUAGUUUGGUUCUGAUGUAGAUGGAUAAUACAGGAUCUAGUGGGAGAUGGCAUUGGACUGGGAAGGGACAUAUGUGACCCCAAUAAUUCUGGAGAUGACACUCCUGGUCAUUUUCUUCUCUGUCCAUGGGAGGUGAGAGGCAGAGUCCCUGUCCCAGCACAGAAGAUCAUCCUGGGGCAGAGAGAGCCCAUGGGAUAGUGGAGGGGAUACUAGUA
This 239-nucleotide long non-coding RNA is filed under the name Homo sapiens (human). Its description in RNAcentral is "HSALNT0368298". The record is from RNAcentral. Lineage: Eukaryota; Metazoa; Chordata; Mammalia; Primates; Hominidae.